Molecule: ribosomal RNA, 250 nt
Filed under: uncultured bacterium
Lineage: Bacteria
Description: partial 16S ribosomal RNA
Rfam family: Bacterial small subunit ribosomal RNA
Source: RNAcentral
UACGGAGGGUGCGAGCGUUAAUCGGAAUUACUGGGCGUAAAGGGUUCGUAGGUGGUUAGAUAAGUCAGAUGUGAAAGCCCUGGGCUCAACCUGGGAGUUGCAUAUGAAACUGUUUGACUAGAGUUUGGUAGAGGAUUGGGGAAUUUCCGGUGUAGCGGUGAAAUGCGUAGAUAUUGGAAAGAACAUCGAUGGCGAAGGCAACAAUCUGGACUUGAACUGACACUGAGGGACGAAAGCGUGGGUAGCAACA